UACGUAGGGGGCUAGCGUUAUCCAGAUUUACUGGGCGUAAAGCGCGUGUAGGCGGCUGGUUAGGUGUGAUGUGAAAUCUUCGGGCUCAACCCGAAAACUGCAUUGCAAACCGGCCUGGCUAGAGUGCAGGAGAGGGAAGCGGAAUUCCAGGUGUAGCGGUGAAAUGCGCAGAUAUCAGGAGGAACACUGGUGGUGUAAACGGCUUUCUGGACCAUAACUGACGCUGAGGCACGAAAGCGUGGGUAGCAAACAGG
This 254-nucleotide ribosomal RNA is filed under the name uncultured bacterium. RNAcentral's name for it is "partial 16S ribosomal RNA". It matches the Rfam family "Bacterial small subunit ribosomal RNA", at positions 524 to 776 of the family's 1533-position model. The record is from RNAcentral.